AGUCUCCCCCGAAGAAGUGAUUACUUAACCUGUGUCCUGCGGAGGACCCUUCUGGCGGGCAGCUGGAAGCCUGUGCACCCGUCUUCAAAUAAUGGCUUUUAAUAGCAGACUGGAACGUUUCGGAUUACAAAGCAAACCGGACCCUUUCAAACCUGGUUAUCUUUGUGAAGUAGCAUUCCACUUAAAAUUGGGAGCCCUUUAAUAACAGAGAGAAAUCAUGUCUAUGAAACUAGAGAAGCUGCUCAGAUAACUGCAAACCAGCCAUCCUUACUGGUUUUACGAGUAGUAGUGUUAUAAAGAAAGUUGUCCAGUUUUAUGAGUCUUGUAGGUUUGUUUUUUUGUUUUUCAAAUACAGUAGUGUACAAAAAGGAAGCAGAAUGUGGUUGCUGUCUCAAUGUAAUGCCUCGCUGGGCCUGAGAAUUUGAAAAUAAAAAAGUUCUCUUCUUUCCCCA
This 452-nucleotide long non-coding RNA is filed under the name Homo sapiens (human). Its description in RNAcentral is "HSALNT0290503". The record is from RNAcentral. Lineage: Eukaryota; Metazoa; Chordata; Mammalia; Primates; Hominidae.